Long non-coding RNA from Eurytemora carolleeae, 491 nucleotides. RefSeq lists it as uncharacterized. NCBI's taxonomy places the organism in Eukaryota, Metazoa, Arthropoda, Copepoda, Calanoida, Temoridae. The record is from RefSeq and is a predicted model, not a curated record. The transcript has 3 exons.
UUGCUUAUUAAAAAUAUUAUUUUAGGAGACUCCUGAAAAUGGCUCUAAUUCAAAUAAAAAUGGCAGACAGGAAAACGCGGGAACUGAGGAGAAGGUGACAGUGGCUGUGAACGUAGAAGAACCGGUUAUGUGGGAAUUUAAAUGGAAAAAUGAAGACGGGGAGGAUGUCCACGGUCCGUAUUCUAGCGAGAAGAUGUUGGAAUGGCAGGAAUCUGAAUUCUUUGCUGCUGGUGUCUGGUGCAGGAAAGUCGGGAGUGCUGGGGAAUUCUUGACGUCUAAAAGAAUAGAGUUCGACCUCUAUGUGUAAACAAUCAGAAACCAGUUCUAUGCAGUACAAAAACAAGAAUCAAACAAACCAGUACACUGCAGUACAGCAACUACAGCAUCAAGUUCAUUCCAUCCUCAAUUAACAACUGCAAACAUAAAAUGAUUUUGAGAAUUUCUUAAUUGUUCCUUUUGAUCAAAAUAAAUAAAGUUUUUUUCAUAGUUUA